Medicago truncatula (barrel medic) is the source of this 387-nucleotide long non-coding RNA. RefSeq lists it as uncharacterized. NCBI's taxonomy places the organism in Eukaryota, Viridiplantae, Streptophyta, Magnoliopsida, Fabales, Fabaceae. The transcript is spliced from 3 exons. The record is from RefSeq and is a predicted model, not a curated record.
CUUGGUUAUGAUAGUUUCAACAUGUUCAUUAAACAGGUUGUGAUUGAAGGUUUCAAGAGUUACCGAGAGCAAAUUGCCACGGAGGAUUUCAGUCCUAAAGUUAACUGUGUUGGUGUUUCUACUUGCAUGGUUCGACCUAAAUCAGCUCUUGGAACCCUUCAAUGUCAACAACUUAGCUGUCAAACUCUCCAACCUGCACUUUUGUGCAUUGGUGCUACAUAACAUAGGUCUUAGUAACUCAAAAGCUUGAUAACUCUUCAUUAGUUUUUGUAAAUCCUUUUUACUCAUGUUAAUAUCUUGUGCUUACUGUGGUAAGUAACCAUUGAUCCAUAGAGAAGAUCUUUGGAGGAUUGGUUGAUAAUAUACAAAAAGUCUUAGAAGCUGGAA